GGGUUCAGAACGUCGUGAGACAGUUAGGUCCCUAACCUUCGUGGGCGUAGGAUAUUUGCGAGGCGCUGCCCCUAGUACGAGAGGACCGGGGUGGACGUACCGAUGGUGCAUCUGUUGUCACGCCAGUGGCACGGCAGAGUAGCUAUGUACGGAGCGGAUAAACGCUGAAAGCAUCUAAGCGUGAAACCCACCUCAAGAUAAGAUAUCCCAGACCGAAAGGAAGUAAGGCACCUGAAAGACGAUCAGGUAGAUAGGCCAAAGGUGUAAGCAUGGCAACAUGUUCAGCUGAUUGGUACUAAUAAGCCGAGGGCUUGAUCAC
This 319-nucleotide ribosomal RNA is filed under the name Bacillota bacterium. RNAcentral's name for it is "partial 23S ribosomal RNA". It matches the Rfam family "Bacterial large subunit ribosomal RNA", at positions 2607 to 2925 of the family's 2925-position model. The record is from RNAcentral. Lineage: Bacteria; Bacillati; Bacillota.